CAGCCGCCGCGGGAAAACGGAGGGGGCUAGCGUUGUUCGGAAUUACUGGGCGUAAAGCGCACGUAGGCGGCUUGGUAAGUUAGAGGUGAAAGCCUGGAGCUCAACUCCAGAAUUGCCUUUAAGACUGCCGAGCUAGCAGGUGAGAGAGGUAAGUGGAAUUCCGAGUGUAGAGGUGAAAUUCGUAGAUAUUCGGAAGAACACCAGUGGCGAAGGCGGCUUACUGGCUCAUACUGGACGCUGAGGUGCGAAAGCGUGGGGAGCAAACAGGAUUAGAUACCCCCGUAGUCCCUGUCUCUUAUAC
Molecule: ribosomal RNA, 301 nt
Filed under: uncultured bacterium
Lineage: Bacteria
Description: partial 16S ribosomal RNA
Rfam family: Bacterial small subunit ribosomal RNA
Source: RNAcentral